AUUGCUUCCAAAUCCAAGGAACAGGCACCUCGGAUCACUGUGCUGUGAGGGCAGGAGGAUCCUUCUUUUGGAAAGCGGAAAACAGGACUACCUGAUCUAUCGGUGUCCCAUGGAACCACACUGCCCCCUGCGGUCAGAACCACCCGGGAUGCAGAACAGCAAGGACCGCAAACUUGGGUGCAGAGGGCUUUCCUCCACGCAACCCAGGAAGCUCCGUGAUUGGCAAACUGCUCUGUCAGGAUCCAUCGAAUCAGCAAACAUAGGUGCCUGUAGGAUGCAAACCAGGAAACAGGACUGUUAUGUGGCUUGCUGGUAGCCAAGCAAAAUGCUCCGAUCCAUUAGGCUGGUGAGAGGCAGCUGAAUGAGACCCAGCCUCGUGUUUUGUGGGAUGAAGAGAUGCGGACAAAGUGACUCAGGACCAGAAGGCCCCCUCAGUGCCAUCUGAGGACACCGCGGUAGUGCCUAUUAAGUAACACCCAGACAAGGCGUGGCCCUUCAACCGUCUUAUGAAAUGAGAAACCACCACACCGGCCACGAGGCCAUUCACAUACACAUGUGCAGGGUGGAUGAG
Molecule: non-coding RNA, 571 nt
Filed under: Pongo abelii (Sumatran orangutan)
Lineage: Eukaryota; Metazoa; Chordata; Mammalia; Primates; Hominidae
Source: RNAcentral